Molecule: non-coding RNA, 75 nt
Organism: Trichonephila inaurata madagascariensis
Lineage: Eukaryota; Metazoa; Arthropoda; Arachnida; Araneae; Nephilidae
Source: the annotation of a GenBank genome assembly
GGGGGUAUAGCUCAGUGAUAGAGCAUUCGACUGCAGAUCGAGAGGUCCCCUCUUCAAACUCGGGGGUACUCUUCU